Molecule: long non-coding RNA, 232 nt
Filed under: Lathyrus oleraceus (garden pea)
Lineage: Eukaryota; Viridiplantae; Streptophyta; Magnoliopsida; Fabales; Fabaceae
Description: Pisum sativum (pea) long non-coding RNA (PSAT_LNC011530)
Source: RNAcentral
GAACUUAAAAUAUUUUAAAUAAAUUUGUAAUUGAAAUAUGAAAUAUGAUAAAAAUGUCAUGCAAUAUAUACAUUUUAGGAGUAAAAUAUAUCACAACAAAUGAAAUGGCCUAGUGAUAGGAGUCUCUUGCAAGUAAGGUUGAAGUCCUCUUUUCAUCAAAAUGUAGGAGUUUUAAAAUUUUAAUUAUCUAAACUUAAAAAAUUUAAAAAUGAAACCCAUGUGAAAUUAAAAA